RNAcentral lists this unclassified non-coding RNA (301 nucleotides) under Bacillus mojavensis. RNAcentral describes it as "contains 16S-23S intergenic spacer region". It matches the Rfam family "Bacterial small subunit ribosomal RNA", at positions 68 to 358 of the family's 1533-position model. The record is from RNAcentral. Lineage: Bacteria; Bacillati; Bacillota; Bacilli; Caryophanales; Bacillaceae.
GGAAAGAUGGGAGCUUGCUCCCUGAUGUUAGCGGCGGACGGGUGAGUAACACGUGGGUAACCUGCCUGUAAGACUGGGAUAACUCCGGGAAACCGGGGCUAAUACCGGAUGCUUGUUUGAACCGCAUGGUUCAAACAUAAAAGGUGGCUUCGGCUACCACUUACAGAUGGACCCGCGGCGCAUUAGCUAGUUGGUGAGGUAACGGCUCACCAAGGCAACGAUGCGUAGCCGACCUGAGAGGGUGAUCGGCCACACUGGGACUGAGACACGGCCCAGACUCCUACGGGAGGCAGCAGUGGGA